CAGCAGCCGCGGUAAUACGGAGGGUGCAAGCGUUAUCCGGAUUUACUGGGUUUAAAGGGUGCGUAGGCGGGCAGGUAAGUCUGUGGUGAAAUCUCCGAGCUCAACUCGGGAACUGCCAUGGAUACUAUUUGUCUUGAAUACCGUGGAGGUGAGCGGAACAUGGCAUGUAGCGGUGAAAUGCUUAGAUAUGCCAUAGAACACCUAUUGCGAAGGCAGCUCACUACACGGUGAUUGACGCUGAGGCACGAAAGCGUGGGUAGCGAACAGGAUUAGAUACCCUGGGUCCACGCCCUAAACGAUGAUCACUCGACAUUGGCGAUAUACUGUCAGUGUCUAAGCGAAAGCAUUAAGUGAUCCACCUGGGAAGUACGACCGCAAGGUUGAAACUCAAAGGAAUUGAC
This 401-nucleotide ribosomal RNA is filed under the name uncultured Sphingobacteriales bacterium. RNAcentral describes it as "bacterial SSU rRNA". It matches the Rfam family "Bacterial small subunit ribosomal RNA", at positions 509 to 914 of the family's 1533-position model. The record is from RNAcentral. Lineage: Bacteria; Pseudomonadati; Bacteroidota; Sphingobacteriia; Sphingobacteriales.